UCACCAGGUCAGGACACGGUAAGGAUUGACGGACUGAAGGCUCUUCUCGAUUCCGUGGAAAGUGGUGCAUGGCCGUUUUGGUGGUGGAUCGAUCCGUCUGGUUAAUUCCGUUAACGAACGAGACCUCGGCACUCCGAAUAGCGCGGCGGACGUCGCGGCCUCCGGGCCGUCUCCGCACGAGCUUCUUAGAGGGGACCGUCCCCCCGCCGGGGAAGGAGGUGCGAGGCAACGACAGGUCUGUGAUGCCCUUAGAUGUUCUGGGCCGCACGCGCAUUACACUGACGCGUCCAACGGGUGACUCCCGACCCGAAGGGGCCGGGGAAUCCGCAAGGCGCGUCGUGAUGGGGAUUGAACGUUGCAAUUGUUGUUCACGAACGAGGAAUUCCUAGUAGGCGCGGGUCAUCAACCCGCGCCGAUUACGUCCCUGCCCUUUGUACACACCGCC
This 445-nucleotide ribosomal RNA is filed under the name uncultured eukaryote. RNAcentral describes it as "bacterial SSU rRNA". It matches the Rfam family "Eukaryotic small subunit ribosomal RNA", at positions 1215 to 1673 of the family's 1831-position model. The record is from RNAcentral.